RNAcentral lists this long non-coding RNA (3327 nucleotides) under Pan troglodytes (chimpanzee). RNAcentral's name for it is "lincRNA". Lineage: Eukaryota; Metazoa; Chordata; Mammalia; Primates; Hominidae. The record is from RNAcentral.
AGUUGGGGCCUGGUCAACAGGGGUCCAGAAGCUGAGGCCUGGUUGGUGGGCGUCCAGCAGUUGAGGCCUGGUCAUCUGGGCCCGGCAUUUGGGGCCUGAUCGGCGGGGAUCAGAGCAGUGAGGCCUAGUCAGUGAGGUGUGGAUGUGGGGGCCUGGAUGGACGUGGAGGAAGACGUGGCUACCCUACUUGCACAGGAGCAGGGGGCAUCAUUGCCCAGUGUGAACAGUGAGACGUAGCUGCCACCCAUCAGUGCCCUGGAAGUGAAGAGAAGACAUCAGGAGAUGAGAGACACAGAAAAAUGGCUCCAGGUGCUUCUCGACUGCCAGAGACAUAGGAGCGGCAAGGAGAGCAAGUAAUGACGCCCUCCUCCCAGACUUGCCACAAAGCCCCCCAGAGCUUGGUGAUGUCCCAGGACGGUCCUCCCAGGAAACAUUUUGAACAAGUUGAUGAAGUGCCUGAUGGACGUGGCUCUCGUCACGAAAUGAGUUUGGAUCCGAGAAGCCCUCUUCUUCAUCGGAAAACAGUGCCUCAUCAGCAGCUACGUUCUGGAUGGCUAGCAUGUACCGAAGGCACAAAACCUCCAGAGUUGGCAGAGUCAAGUCCUGGCGUGCCCGAGGCUAUCCAGGGGAACACGCGGGACAGACAGCACCCUCAGCCUGUCCCCAUGACCCUCUGCUCCAGUCUGAGGGGCAGGACACCAUGAGACCUCUCAGACACAGAGUCCACCCUCGACAUGACCCGGAUGAAAGGCAGGAGUGUGCUCCCUAAAGGGGACCCAUCUCUGCAAGCCCACAGCCCUACCUGCAGCAUCCACAGCCUCAGAGAGCAGCGGGGCCCCUUAACCCUGAACCCCCUCCAAGAGCAUCAGGACAACAAGCCUUGAGCUGUGGAGACAAGAGAAUCAGUAUCCCUGGCCCAGGGAGGAUUCCAGGAGAGGACAGGGGCAGGAGUCCUGGCCCAGAGCCAGAACCAAGAGUCCAGCCAGCGAAACUGGAACUAGGGUCCCCGGCACCCAGGACUCUGCGAGCAUCCCCCAACAGCAAGCCCUUCUGCAAGGGAGACGGGUUGGCCCACCCCAGGCUGUCCAGCUCCAGCAGCCUUGCAGGCAGCCUCUCCAGAAAAAGAGCCUGGUCCUCCCCAACCCUGCUCCCCACAGGCUGUCCCUGACCCUGAGGCCCAGAGGCACAAGAGGACUUCUGUAGAGCCCAGGGGAGCAGGCUGUUCUCUUGGGGCCCCAGCGGGCUCAAGGUGUGGCCAGGCUGUCCCCAACUCAGGAUAGAUCAUAGGCUGUCCUGCGUACCUUCUCUGGAACUCCCUGCCCAAGCUCUGCCAUGGACCUGGACGUCAGGGGCCUGUGGUUUAACUUUGAAUAGGGAUUCUGGACCUUACACGUGUGCCCUGGACAGCCCCAGAACCAUGGGGUGGGGACCGACCCAGCAAGCCCACCGGGGCCCUGAAACCCGGCCCUGCCGGACACUGUGAUAAUAACCAAGAGGCAAGUCCAGAGACAUCCACUUUGCCCAAUGGCACCUGCAUCCAACUUCUCAGCAGGCAGUGACUGGCAUGGUGUGGGGGCAGCCGGGGCAGCACCUGGCCAGCACCUGGCCAGCUGCCCCGUAGCCCCCGAUGGCUCCAGUGCCUCUGGACUUCAUUUUCUACUUUCUACGGGGAAACCUGCUCCCUCAGAGGCCACCAGAGGGAAGAGUGAGCAAGGCGUUCCUGCAGUCCCGACCAGCCAGCGGCAUGUCCUGUGGCCUCUGACUCAACCUACGAGACAGAGCUCUGAUCCCAGGGCACACUUCCCAGGACACGGGGCCCAGCCUCAACCAGAGCCCUGUGAAGGGAGGGGCACCAGGAUGACCACAUGGGGGACCAUGGCGCUGCACGCCUGGGCACUGUACUUCUCAUUGGAGAAUCCAGGCAAGAUCUUGAAGCGGGUGCAUGAGGUCCUGAGCCUGUGCAGCCAACAGCACUCAUCUGGGGUUGGCACGAAGGGGUCUACAGAGCCACGGCCACCGCAGCCUCUUCCCGGCCCCAUCUGUGCAGUGCAAGUGAUCCACGCCUGCUCCUAAACCCAGCCCAGCAAGCAGCAGCAGCCUGGGCCCCCCAGCCCGCCAGGCCAAUGUGCUGCCCAGAGGCUUCAAGGCCCUGCCCGCUGUACCUCCCACCACCUGGAAGCUGCCUCCUGACGCCUUCCAGCCACUGCUGCAGCCGCAACAGUUGUCGCGGCCAGUGCAGGCUUUCCAGACGGUGGCGGCGCCCAGCAGCCGUUGCCUCAGCAGCUCUUUGGUGGCAGCCAGGCCAACAAGGGCAGCAACGAUGACUAGGAUGAUGAGUGAGCAAACAGCUCCACACUGGUGGACAGGCUGGGUGCGCACCCGGUGGUCCUCAAAGGCUCGCUGGGCCUGUACCACCGUUAUAAAUUUGAGAUCAUGAGAUUAUACCAUUUGCCUUCUUGCUUUUUGAAGUACGAGUAUUUUUAUGCACACUUUGUAGACUUCAAAAUCCAUGAAGAGUCUCAAAGAAGCAGGCUGGAUGGGGCCUGCUGCGAAUGUCUUUUUACUCUCGUAGAUCAGGGUGAUUUACAUUCCACCUGUAGUCUGCUUGCAAACACACAGAGCAGCCUUGCAGCUUUGUGCCUUUAGACUCUUGGUUUUGCAUUUCUCCCUGCUCCCUUCUUCCUUCCAGUAAGCCGCAACUUUUCUGAUUGAAAGGGUGCAAGGCUAACACACGGAAUGACUAACUCAGGAUCACAUACUGGCAGUGGGAGAGGCGGGAGGAGCAGCUGCCAUCAAUUGCCAGGGCCAAGUGGAUGAUAGGAUGGAUGCUGGCGCAUGCGGAGGAGGCAGACGCAACGCUCAUCUCUAAUAAUGAUGUCUGUUCCCUCAGAGGCGGCUAGAGCAUCGCCUCUUCACGCAAGUGUCUUGAAACUCAGCUUGAAGAUUUCAGCAAAUGUGUCUUACAGAGAAGAGAAGAGGGAGUCAGUCCAUCGGGAUUAAAAAUAUAGAGGCAGUGACGACACACACUCGGCUUCAGUUCUUAGGAGAGUUUUGGUUUUGAUUUUUUUUUUUUUGAGAAGAUUUUUUUUUUAAUGGAUCUACACUGUUAACUGAGACUCUGUUGAGAUUCACUGGUUUACUUAAAAACUUCUCAGGGAUGUCUGUAAAUUUCAGUGUUAUAUGUCAUGAAAACUGGUGUGGGCAGAUCUGUUGGUUGAAAUAAUUUCUACUGUUUCAAAUACUGAAGGCAGGAAUAAUUGGUUUAUACUGUGUUUUAAAUAAAAGUAUUACUGGUAAGUCCCCCAGGACAUUAAACCUUAAAAAUCA